CCAAGGGUGACAAUCAAAUUUCAGAGGAGGAGGCUGAAGCAGCAUAAAAGCGGAACAGAGCCAAGACCUCUUCCCCCCGGCAAGAGAUGGCUGAAGGGCAACCGUGGUACAUUGUACAAGAAAAUGGUACGUGUCUUGUUAAAAUGGAUUAUAUCACCCAUGGAUUCCCCUGUUGGAGAGCCUUUAAGAUGAAGUGUAUCUUUGCUCAGACCUUCUGUUAUGCUGAUGUGCUUGGUGAAAACAUCGAUGUUAACUGGCUGGACAGGCUUCGGCAUGCCUGUCAGUGGCAGGAGUUCUGUACAACGUUGCUUUCCUGCUGCAGGAGGCAAUGCACGCAGCCAAGCAAGUUUAGCUGUUUUACUGCCACAUCAGCAGGACAGAAGAAGGAUACCUGACAACAGAAAGAAGAGGACACAAAAAGGACAGAAAGAGAAAAGAUGUUGGGAGAUAACAGUCUGGAGAGGAAAAGUUACCACAUGCAGCUCCAAGAACAAAAGAAAAAUAAACAUUUAAUGUACCUGCA
This 523-nucleotide long non-coding RNA is filed under the name Anas platyrhynchos platyrhynchos (common mallard). RNAcentral describes it as "lncRNA (ENSAPLG00000024732.1)". The record is from RNAcentral. Lineage: Eukaryota; Metazoa; Chordata; Aves; Anseriformes; Anatidae.